RNAcentral lists this ribosomal RNA (880 nucleotides) under uncultured bacterium. RNAcentral's name for it is "bacterial SSU rRNA". It matches the Rfam family "Bacterial small subunit ribosomal RNA", at positions 8 to 938 of the family's 1533-position model. The record is from RNAcentral.
AGAGUUUGAUCAUGGCUCAGAACGAACGCUGGCGGCAGGCCUAACACAUGCAAGUCGAGCGCUACCUUCGGGUGGAGCGGCGGACGGGUUAGUAACGCGUGGGAAUAUACCUAGUUCUAAGGAAUAGCCUCGGGAAACUGAGAGUAAUACCUUAUACGCCCUUCGGGGGAAAGAUUUAUCGGAAUUAGAUUAGCCCGCGUUAGAUUAGAUAGUUGGUGGGGUAACGGCCUACCAAGUCGACGAUCUAUAGCUGGUUUGAGAGGAUGAUCAGCAACACUGGGACUGAGACACGGCCCAGACUCCUACGGGAGGCAGCAGUGGGGAAUCUUAGACAAUGGGCGCAAGCCUGAUCUAGCCAUGCCGCGUGAGUGAUGAAGGCCCUAGGGUCGUAAAGCUCUUUCGCCAGAGAUGAUAAUGACAGUAUCUGGUAAAGAAACCCCGGCUAACUCCGUGCCAGCAGCCGCGGUAAUACGGAGGGGGUUAGCGUUGUUCGGAAUUACUGGGCGUAAAGCGUACGUAGGCGGAUUAGUAAGUAAGGGGUGAAAUCCCAGGGCUCAACCCUGGAACUGCUUCUUAAACUGCUAAUCUUGAGUUCGAGAGAGGUGAGUGGAAUUCCAAGUGUAGAGGUGAAAUUCGUAGAUAUUUGGAGGAACACCAGUGGCGAAGGCGGCUCACUGGCUCGAUACUGACGCUGAGGUACGAAAGUGUGGGGAGCAAACAGGAUUAGAUACCCUGGUAGUCCACACCGUAAACGAUGAAUGCCAGACGUCGGGUAGCAUGCUAUUCGGUGUCACACCUAACGGAUUAAGCAUUCCGCCUGGGGAGUACGGUCGCAGAUUAAACUCAAGGGAAUUGACGGGGGCCGCACAAGCGGUGAGCA